Molecule: ribosomal RNA, 666 nt
Filed under: uncultured Alphaproteobacteria bacterium
Lineage: Bacteria; Pseudomonadati; Pseudomonadota; Alphaproteobacteria
Description: bacterial SSU rRNA
Rfam family: Bacterial small subunit ribosomal RNA
Source: RNAcentral
CUCUACGGAAUAGCCUCGGGAAACUGAGAGUAAUACCGUAUACGCCCUUCGGGGGAAAGAUUUAUCGGAGAAGGAUCAGCCCGCGUAAGAUUAGAUAGUUGGUGGGGUAAUGGCCUACCAAGUCUACGAUCUUUAGCUGGUUUUAGAGGAUGAUCAGCAACACUGGGACUGAGACACGGCCCAGACUCCUACGGGAGGCAGCAGUGGGGAAUCUUGGACAAUGGGCGCAAGCCUGAUCCAGCCAUGCCGCGUGUGUGAUGAAGGCCUUAGGGUCGUAAAGCACUUUCGCUAGAGAUGAUAAUGACAGUAUCUAGUAAAGAAGUCCCGGCUAACUCCGUGCCAGCAGCCGCGGUAAUACGGAGGGGACUAGCGUUGUUCGGAAUUACUGGGCGUAAAGCGUACGUAGGCGGAUCAGAAAGUAUGGGGUGAAAUCCCAGGGCUCAACCCUGGAACUGCCUCAUAAACUCCUGGUCUAGAGUUCGAGAGAGGUGAGUGGAAUUCCGAGUGUAGAGGUGAAAUUCGUAGAUAUUCGGAGGAACACCAGUGGCGAAGGCGGCUCACUGGCUCGAUACUGACGCUGAGGUACGAAAGUGUGGGGAGCAAACAGGAUUAGAUACCCUGGUAGUCCACACCGUAAACGAUGAAUGCCAGUCGUCGGGUAGCAUG